Molecule: ribosomal RNA, 387 nt
Filed under: Enterococcus faecium
Lineage: Bacteria; Bacillati; Bacillota; Bacilli; Lactobacillales; Enterococcaceae
Description: bacterial SSU rRNA
Rfam family: Bacterial small subunit ribosomal RNA
Source: RNAcentral
GUGAGUAACACGUGGGUAACCUGCCCAUCAGAAGGGGAUAACACUUGGAAACAGGUGCUAAUACCGUAUAACAAUCGAAACCGCAUGGUUUUGAUUUGAAAGGCGCUUUCGGGUGUCGCUGAUGGAUGGACCCGCGGUGCAUUAGCUAGUUGGUGAGGUAACGGCUCACCAAGGCCACGAUGCAUAGCCGACCUGAGAGGGUGAUCGGCCACAUUGGGACUGAGACACGGCCCAAACUCCUACGGGAGGCAGCAGUAGGGAAUCUUCGGCAAUGGACGAAAGUCUGACCGAGCAACGCCGCGUGAGUGAAGAAGGUUUUCGGAUCGUAAAACUCUGUUGUUAGAGAAGAACAAGGAUGAGAGUAACUGUUCAUCCCUUGACGGUAUC